This 248-nucleotide ribosomal RNA is filed under the name uncultured bacterium. RNAcentral describes it as "partial 16S ribosomal RNA". It matches the Rfam family "Bacterial small subunit ribosomal RNA", at positions 107 to 353 of the family's 1533-position model. The record is from RNAcentral.
UGAGUAACACGUAUCCAACCUGCCGUCUACUCUUGGACAGCCUUCUGAAAGGAAGAUUAAUACAAGAUGGCAUCAUGAGUCCGCAUGUUCACAUGAUUAAGGGUAUUCCGGUAGACGAUGGGGAUGCGUUCCAUUAGAUAGUAGGCGGGGUAACGGCCCACCUAGUCUUCGAUGGAUAGGGGUUCUGAGAGGAAGGUCCCCCACAUUGGAACUGAGACACGGUCCAAACUCCUACGGGAGGCAGCAUG